RNAcentral lists this ribosomal RNA (555 nucleotides) under uncultured bacterium. Its description in RNAcentral is "bacterial SSU rRNA". It matches the Rfam family "Bacterial small subunit ribosomal RNA", at positions 92 to 643 of the family's 1533-position model. The record is from RNAcentral.
CGAGUGGCGAACGGGUGAGUAAUACAUCGGGACGUACCCAGAAGUGGGGGAUAACGUAGCGAAAGUUACGCUAAUACCGCAUACGUUCUACGGAAGAAAGUGGGGGAUCGCAGGACCUCAUGCUUUUGGAGCGGCCGAUGUCUGAUUAGCUAGUUGGUAGGGUAAAGGCCUACCAAGGCGACGAUCAGUAGCUGGUCUGAGAGGACGACCAGCCACACUGGAACUGAGACACGGUCCAGACUCCUACGGGAGGCAGCAGUGGGGAAUUUUGGACAAUGGGCGCAAGCCUGAUCCAGCAAUGCCGCGUGAGUGAAGAAGGCCUUCGGGUUGUAAAGCUCUUUUGUCAGGGAAGAAACGGCUGUGGCUAAUAUCCAUGGCUAAUGACGGUACCUGAAGAAUAAGCACCGGCUAACUACGUGCCAGCAGCCGCGGUAAUACGUAGGGUGCAAGCGUUAAUCGGAAUUACUGGGCGUAAAGCGUGCGCAGGCGGUUUUGUAAGUCUGACGUGAAAUCCCCGGGCUCAACCUGGGAAUUGCGUUGGAGACUGCAAGGCUG